CGUGUAGGCGGCCUGAUAUGUCAGAUGUGAAAGCCCUGGGCUUAACCCAGGAAGCGCAUUUGAAACUGUCAGGCUCGAGUAGGGGAGAGGGAAGUGGAAUUCCUGGUGUAGAGGUGAAAUUCGUAGAUAUCAGGAGGAACACCGGUGGCGAAGGCGACUUCCUGGCCCUAUACUGACGCUGAGACGCGAGAGCGUGGGUAGCAAACAG
RNAcentral lists this ribosomal RNA (208 nucleotides) under uncultured Pseudomonadota bacterium. RNAcentral's name for it is "uncultured proteobacterium partial 16S ribosomal RNA". It matches the Rfam family "Bacterial small subunit ribosomal RNA", at positions 568 to 775 of the family's 1533-position model. Lineage: Bacteria; Pseudomonadati; Pseudomonadota. The record is from RNAcentral.